CCUGUUUAUUCAAAAACAUGGCUUCUUGUUUUGAGAGUAGAAGAGGUCUGGCCUGCCCGGUGGAUAAUUUCUAAACGGUCGCAGCUGUCACUGUGCUAAGGUAGCGUAAUAGGUCGUCCUUUAAUUGGGGAAAUGAAUGAAUGGUCGGAUGAUGGAAAGGCUUUAUUAAUGAUAUUUUUUGAAUUUUACUUCUAUGUGCAAAGGCAUAGAUUUAUUUAUUAGACGAGAAGACCCUGUUGAGCUUGGUAUUUAGGGUUAGUGUUGGGAUUCGAAGUAUGUUUUUUCGGGGCCGAAAGGAAGGGAUAAAAUACCUUCUUUAUUGUAAUGAUCCAGCAAGGCUGAUAAGAGGAAGAUAGUUACCACAGGGAUAACAGCGCAAUUUUUUCAUCAAGGCCAUAUUUGAGAAGAAGGUUGCGACCUCGAUGUUGAAUCAAAAUUCCUAUCAGGUGCAGCAGCUUGGUAAGUGGGACUGUUCGUCCCUUGAAAUUUUACGUGAUCUGAGUUCAGACC
RNAcentral lists this ribosomal RNA (510 nucleotides) under Gari pallida. Its description in RNAcentral is "partial 16S ribosomal RNA". It matches the Rfam family "Bacterial large subunit ribosomal RNA", at positions 1799 to 2617 of the family's 2925-position model. Lineage: Eukaryota; Metazoa; Mollusca; Bivalvia; Cardiida; Psammobiidae. The record is from RNAcentral.